ACGCCUAAUACAUGCAAGUCGAACGAAGUAGCAAUACUUAGUGGCAGACGGGUGAGUAACAUGUAGGUAUCUACCCUUUGGCCUGGAAUAACACGAGGAAACUUGUGCUAAUACUGGAUAAGUCUUUACGGAGAAAGCUUUAUGCACCAUUGGAUGAGCCUGCACUUGAUUAGUUUGUUGGUGGGGUAAUGGCCUACCAAGACUGUGAUCAAUAGCUGAUUUGAGAGGAUGAUCAGCCACAUUGGGACUGAGACACGGCCCAAACUCCUACGGGAGGCAGCAGUAGGGAAUCUUGCACAAUGGAGGAAACUCUGAUGCAGCGAUGCCGCGUGAGUGAAGAAGGCCUUUGGGUUGUAAAGCUCUUUCGUCGGGGAAGAAAAUGACUGUACCCGAAUAAGAAGGUCCGGCUAACUUCGUGCCAGCAGCCGCGGUAAUACGAAGGGACCUAGCGUAGUUCGGAAUUACUGGGCUUAAAGAGUUCGUAGGUGGUUGAAAAAGUUGGUGGUGAAAUCCCAGAGCUUAACUCUGGAACUGCCAUCAAAACUUUUCAGCUAGAGUUUGAUAGAGGAAAGCAGAAUUUCUAGUGUAGAGGUGAAAUUCGUAGAUAUUAGAAAGAAUACCAAUUGCGAAGGCAGCUUUCUGGAUCAUUACUGACACUGAGGAACGAAAGCAUGGGUAGCGAAGAGGAUUAGAUACCCUCGUAGUCCAUGCCGUAAACGAUGUGUGUUAGACGUUGGAAAUUUAUUUUCAGUGUCGCAGCGAAAGCAAUAAACACACCGCCUGGGGAGUACG
RNAcentral lists this ribosomal RNA (792 nucleotides) under uncultured Pelagibacteraceae bacterium. Its description in RNAcentral is "bacterial SSU rRNA". It matches the Rfam family "Bacterial small subunit ribosomal RNA", at positions 44 to 884 of the family's 1533-position model. The record is from RNAcentral. Lineage: Bacteria; Pseudomonadati; Pseudomonadota; Alphaproteobacteria; Candidatus Pelagibacterales; Candidatus Pelagibacteraceae.